Molecule: ribosomal RNA, 881 nt
Filed under: Mesonia sp.
Lineage: Bacteria; Pseudomonadati; Bacteroidota; Flavobacteriia; Flavobacteriales; Flavobacteriaceae
Description: bacterial SSU rRNA
Rfam family: Bacterial small subunit ribosomal RNA
Source: RNAcentral
GUCGAACGGUAGACAGCAGAGCUUGCUCUGGCUGACGAGUGGCGCACGGGUGCGUAACGCGUAUACAAUCUACCUGUUACUGGAGUAUAGCCCGAAGAAAUUUGGAUUAAUCCUCCAUAGUAUUAUGAGAUGGCAUCAUUUUAUAAUUAAAACUACGGUGGUAAUAGAUGAGUAUGCGUCCUAUUAGUUUGUUGGUAAGGUAACGGCUUACCAAGACAUCGAUAGGUAGGGGUCCUGAGAGGGAGAUCCCCCACACUGGUACUGAGACACGGACCAGACUCCUACGGGAGGCAGCAGUGAGGAAUAUUGGACAAUGGAGGAAACUCUGAUCCAGCCAUGCCGCGUGCAGGAAGACUGCCCUAUGGGUUGUAAACUGCUUUUAUAGAGGAAGAAACCUCCCUACGUGUAGGGAGCUGACGGUACUCUACGAAUAAGGAUCGGCUAACUCCGUGCCAGCAGCCGCGGUAAUACGGAGGAUCCAAGCGUUAUCCGGAAUCAUUGGGUUUAAAGGGUCCGUAGGCGGGCAGUUAAGUCAGUGGUGAAAGUCUUCCGCUCAACGGGAGAAUUGCCAUUGAUACUGAUUGUCUUGAGUCAUUAUGAAGUGGUUAGAAUGAGUAGUGUAGCCGGUGAAAUGCAUAGAUAUUACUCAGAAUACCGAUUGCGAAGGCAGAUCACUAAUAAUGUACUGACGCUGAUGGACGAAAGCGUAGGUAGCGAACAGGAUUAGAUACCCUGGUAGUCUACGCCGUAAACGAUGGUUACUAGCUGUUUGGACGAUUGAGUCUGAGUGGCUAAGCGAAAGUGAUAAGUAACCCACCUGGGGGAGUACGUUCGCAAGAAUGAAACUCAAAGGAAUUGACGGGGGCCCGCACAAGCGGUGG